UUUCUGCACGACAUGCUGCGCUUUCUUCCUGGACAUCCCAUCCUUCAUGAGCCGCAUCUGCCGCCAAGCGAACACCCGGGCUGGGUGUGGCUGGAAUGAGUUCAACUGCACAGGAUAAUGCUUUGCCUGCACCACAUACAAACGUUGCUUCACAAACGCUACUUGAUACAGCUGCAGCAAGAGGGAAAGCCGUGAGACAGAGGGAUUUGACAUGCACGCAAUGCGCCAGAGCUGCAGGGUGCACAGGGAGGCUCACGUCUGGAUUUCUGGCGUAGAAAGACUCUACAAGCCUGUCUUCAGGAAACUCGAUAGGCUUCACUCUCUUUGUCCUCUCCCCUCUCUGGUGCGUGAAUUUCACAUUGCCUGGUAACUGGACUGCGUCCAAACUGAACCACAAAAAAUAAUUGCAAUCAGAUCAAGUUCACAUACCCUACGUGGGUUGCAAGCUUGUGAAGGGGAGUCCAACUGAAGCUGCAGUGAUGGGGACCAGUUAAGAAACUUACUUUUCCCAAGCGGUGAGCCACGCCGGCAUCGGAUGUCCUCCCAAUUGGCACAAGCGGCGCAUGUACUCGACAGUGUCCAGUGUGCUCUUAAAUCGCCCCAUGCCGACUUUGAUCUAUUUUGCAGUAGACAAUCAGCAAAAGCAGGUUUUCUU
RNAcentral lists this long non-coding RNA (655 nucleotides) under Coccomyxa subellipsoidea. Its description in RNAcentral is "long non-coding RNA (CSUB_LNC000456)". The record is from RNAcentral. Lineage: Eukaryota; Viridiplantae; Chlorophyta; Trebouxiophyceae; Coccomyxaceae.